RNAcentral lists this ribosomal RNA (506 nucleotides) under uncultured bacterium. Its description in RNAcentral is "partial 16S ribosomal RNA". It matches the Rfam family "Bacterial small subunit ribosomal RNA", at positions 29 to 523 of the family's 1533-position model. The record is from RNAcentral.
AGUGAACGCUGGCGGUAGGCCUAACACAUGCAAGUCGAACGGCAGCACAGGAGAGCUUGCUCUCUGGGUGGCGAGUGGCGGACGGGUGAGGAAUACAUCGGAAUCUACUUUUUCGUGGGGGAUAACGUAGGGAAACUUACGCUAAUACCGCAUACGACCUACGGGGGAAAGCAGGGGAUCUUCGGACCUUGCGCGAUUGACUGAGCCGAUGUCGGAUUAGCUAGUUGGCGGGGUAAAGGCCCACCAAGGCGACGAUCCGUAGCUGGUCUGAGAGGAUGAUCAGCCACACUGGAACUGAGACACGGUCCAGACUCCUACGGGAGGCAGCAGUGGGGAAUAUUGGACAAUGGGCGCAAGCCUGAUCCAGCCAUACCGCGUGGGUGGAGAAGGCCUUCGGGUUGUAAAGCCCUUUUGUUGGGAAAGAAAUCCAGCUGGCUAAUACCCGGUUGGGAUGACGGUACCCAAAGAAUAAGCACCGGCUAACUUCGUGCCAGCCGCCGCGGUAA